UACGACUACAUAUCAGGCAUAUCAAUAAGCGGAGGAAAAGAAACUAACUAGGAUUCCCUAGUAACGGCGAGUGAAGCGGGAAGAGCUCAAAUUUGAAAUCUUAAAGGGUUUCCCUUGACGAAUUGUAGUUUAUAGAAGUGUUUUCUGUAGUGGAGUUCGGUAAAAGUUCUUUGGAAUAGAACAUCAUAGAGGGUGAGAAUCCCGUAUUUGACCGUUAUUCUCUAGCUGUGUGAUACACUUUCAAAGAGUCGGAUUGUUUGGGAAUGCAGUCCAAAAUGGGUGGUAAAUUUCAUCUAAAGCUAAAUAUUGGCGAGAGACCGAUAGCGAACAAGUACCGUGAGGGAAAGAUGAAAAGAACUUUGAAAAGAGAGUUAAACAGUACGUGAAAUUGUCAAAAGGGAAGCGUUUGACACCAGUGUUGUUUUCUCGAAAAUCAAUUAAAAAUGAACUUGAUUUUGUGUUGUAUUGACCUUAUAAGCUUUCUGCACUUUUUUCUUGUUAUUUUUAAUGCACUUUUCGUUUAACAAGUCAACAUCAAUUUCUUUUGUUGUAAAAGGGUCAUUGGAAGGUGGCUUUCACUUUCGGUGAAAGUGUUUAUAGCCUUUGACUUCCUACAAUCGGAGAGACUGAGGUCUGCAGCGUAGAUCCUUUUGGGAUUAGAUUCAGUUAGAUGCUAAGUUAUAGCUUUGUAUAGACAACAUGUUGACUAUGAUUAGUCAUUGUAGCUUACUCGCUGUAUGUAUUUUACCUACGCUUAGGAUGUUGAUCUCUCACAGUCGAGC
Molecule: ribosomal RNA, 782 nt
Filed under: uncultured Neocallimastigales
Lineage: Eukaryota; Fungi; Neocallimastigomycota; Neocallimastigomycetes; Neocallimastigales
Description: partial large subunit ribosomal RNA
Rfam family: Eukaryotic large subunit ribosomal RNA
Source: RNAcentral